Molecule: transfer RNA, 73 nt
Filed under: Planctomycetaceae bacterium
Lineage: Bacteria; Pseudomonadati; Planctomycetota; Planctomycetia; Planctomycetales; Planctomycetaceae
Also listed under: 2 other names
Description: tRNA-Ile
Rfam family: tRNA
About the family: Transfer RNA (tRNA) molecules are approximately 80 nucleotides in length.
Source: RNAcentral
CCUCCCGUAGCUUCAGUGGUAGAGCGUCGGCCUUAUAAGCCGCUGGUCGCAGGUUCGAUUCCUGCCGGGAGGA